Long non-coding RNA from Chelonia mydas (Green sea turtle), 702 nucleotides. RefSeq lists it as uncharacterized. The transcript has 3 exons. The record is from RefSeq and is a predicted model, not a curated record. NCBI's taxonomy places the organism in Eukaryota, Metazoa, Chordata, Testudines, Cheloniidae.
CAGCACUGCAAAGUUUCCAUCCAAUGUGCCUCAAUCCUGCCCAGGAAGCAAUACCAGUCUCCAUGCCCAGUCAGUUCUUGGCCUCUCUUCUGAGACUCUUUGCAAUGGUGCAAGUUAAUACCCAUUACAGUGCUAGGUCUUGCAAUGUGGAUUCCCGUUUGAUAGCUCUGAGACCAACAAAUGCAUUUGACUGAGUUUUCCUUCUUGUGGCAAUCUGUGUCAGAAGGAAUUUACUUGGAAUACUCUGCCUUCUAUGUCUUCUUUGUAAUGCUGGCCAUGAAAAUCCUAGAGCUGGGUGAAACAUUUUGCAGAGUGACCUAGAACAAAAAAGGAUCAUUACCUUCAGUUCCUCAGAUUUUUGCAAUAUGGCACACGUGAGGCUACCUUUGGAGUAUUCAAGGCAUUGAUUUUGCUCUAUAAAGAUUUUUUCAUUUGGGAACUGUCUGCAUGUGGGGAGAUGGUACCACUUGCCCGCUGUAACAUCUAGAGAAGAUGAGAAAAUCUGAAGUACUCCUGCUAACAAUCUGGUAUUGGGGCUUAAAAAACUGGAGUGAGAGUGGGGUUACUCUGGAGAAUUGUGUGUGGCAUUGUUACAAGAGAGUUGUCAGUUGGAUGGAGAUUGACUCUAAGCAUGUAAAUUAAAAAACCAUCCCACUUGGUCAUUUCUAUACUGCCUUUCCAAAAAGUAGCUGUUUUCUUUGC